UAUACCCUCGCUCCUCAUUCAUCCUUUGAUGAGUGCCGGCCUGAACUCGUUUCAUGUGCCUCAGGAGCGGAUAUGGCUUUCCCAGUCCUAUUUGAUUAGAGCUGGAUCAGCUGAAGCACAGAGGCUAAUCAGGGACCCGCUAAGGGCCGCAACUGGGUAGGCAUUAACCACAUGCUACAUCUAGUUGUUGGUCUGGGACACUGUGUUGGCCCUCCAACAGGAACCAAUAACCCUUUAUUUU
RNAcentral lists this unclassified non-coding RNA (241 nucleotides) under uncultured soil eukaryote. RNAcentral describes it as "sequence contains ITS2". The record is from RNAcentral.